UAUAAUGACCUAUAAUCCCUGGAUAUUAGCUUGUACAUUUAAAUCAAGUUAAACUUUCUUAGCAUCUCGCCAAAACAAGUAGUGAACGAGAGCACAACUUUCUAGUCCUCUAGCUCUCAUGCUUCAAGUGGCUGAUAGUUGCAGGCACUAGAGCUUCACUCAGAUCUUCCGGAUGAUAUCAAAUCUGCCUUUUUGUCAAUGCUCCUAUGCUAUAUAGAGCAGCCUGUCAAGCCCAUUCUUUGUUCUCAAGUAUGCAAUGACAGUUUUUGAAUGUCGGGUAGAAGUGAUGAUGUUAUUGUUGGAGGAAAUACUGUGCUGAAAGACAAUCCACGAUUGACGGUUAGACAUGGAGGUGACCAUCCCGGCGUAUUGUAUUAUCUCAGACUCUUGAUUUUCCAGAAGAAGCACAUCUUUGGAAUGUUUCUGAGGUCCCCAUUAUAGUUGCUACACAAAGAGGUGCAAGGAGAAGUUUCCAGCGAUUGCUUGCAUCCAAAGGUGUGGAAUUUGAUAUUUUAGAUCCUAGAGAUGUUAUGUGGUACUUAUAUGAUCGUGGUUACCUCUCCGUUUUGUGGGAAAGUGGAGGGACACUGGCUGCAUCUGCUAUUUCUUCUGGGGUCAUACACAAGUUAGAUAUGUCAAACCUUACUUGCACGUACAUGCAUUUGUCGCUCCCAAAAUUAUAGGUGGGAAAAUGAAUCGUCUCCAGUUGAGGAACUUGGAAUGGUAGAAUGACCCAGGCUUUGGAACUAAUUGACGUUUGCUAUAAGCAGGAAAUGUUAAGGAAAAUGGCUUACGAUCACAGAUCGAAUGUAUUUGCUACCAAACAAAUCAAAGAUUUGAGUCUUGGGGAGGCUUUGAAGAGUAUCAACAUAAGCCUGGAUUUCAGCAGCUUCACGAGUAACAUC
Solanum pennellii is the source of this 905-nucleotide long non-coding RNA. RefSeq lists it as uncharacterized. The transcript has 5 exons. NCBI's taxonomy places the organism in Eukaryota, Viridiplantae, Streptophyta, Magnoliopsida, Solanales, Solanaceae. The record is from RefSeq and is a predicted model, not a curated record.